RNAcentral lists this ribosomal RNA (1346 nucleotides) under uncultured bacterium. RNAcentral's name for it is "partial 16S ribosomal RNA". It matches the Rfam family "Bacterial small subunit ribosomal RNA", at positions 28 to 1381 of the family's 1533-position model. The record is from RNAcentral.
GACGAACGCUGGCGGCGUGCUUAACACAUGCAAGUCGAACGGAAAGGCCCUGCUUUUGUGGGGUGCUCGAGUGGCGAACGGGUGAGUAACACGUGAGUAACCUGCCCUUGACUUUGGGAUAACUUCAGGAAACUGGGGCUAAUACCGGAUAGGAGCUCCUGCUGCAUGGUGGGGGUUGGAAAGUUUCGGCGGUUGGGGAUGGACUCGCGGCUUAUCAGCUUGUUGGUGGGGUAGUGGCUUACCAAGGCUUUGACGGGUAGCCGGCCUGAGAGGGUGACCGGCCACAUUGGGACUGAGAUACGGCCCAGACUCCUACGGGAGGCAGCAGUGGGGAAUAUUGCACAAUGGGCGGAAGCCUGAUGCAGCAACGCCGCGUGCGGGAUGACGGCCUUCGGGUUGUAAACCGCUUUCGCCUGUGACGAAGCGUGAGUGACGGUAAUGGGUAAAGAAGCACCGGCUAACUACGUGCCAGCAGCCGCGGUGAUACGUAGGGUGCGAGCGUUGUCCGGAUUUAUUGGGCGUAAAGGGCUCGUAGGUGGUUGAUCGCGUCGGAAGUGUAAUCUUGGGGCUUAACCCUGAGCGUGCUUUCGAUACGGGUUGACUUGAGGAAGGUAGGGGAGAAUGGAAUCCCUGGUGGAGCGGUGGAAUGCGCAGAUAUCAGGAGGAACACCAGUGGCGAAGGCGGUUCUCUGGGCCUUUCCUGACGCUGAGGAGCGAAAGCGUGGGGAGCGAACAGGCUUAGAUACCCUGGUAGUCCACGCUGUAAACGGUGGGUACUAGGUGUGGGGUCCAUUCCACGGGUUCCGUGCCGUAGCUAACGCUUUAAGUACCCCGCCUGGGGAGUACGGCCGCAAGGCUAAAACUCAAAGGAAUUGACGGGGCCCCGCACAAGCGGCGGAGCAUGCGGAUUAAUUCGAUGCAACGCGUAGAACCUUACCUGGGUUUGACAUGGAUCGGGAGUGCUCAGAGAUGGGUGUGCCUCUUUUGGGGUCGGUUCACAGGUGGUGCAUGCCUGUCGUCAGCUCGUGUCGUGAGAUGUUGGGUUAAGUCCCGCAACGAGCGCAACCCUUGUUCACUGUUGCCAGCACGUUAUGGUGGGGACUCAGUGGAGACCGCCGGGGUCAACUCGGAGGAAGGUGGGGAUGACGUCAAGUCAUCAUGCCCCUUAUGUCCAGGGCUUCACGCAUGCUACAAUGGCUGGUACAGAGAGUGGCGAGCCUGUGAGGGUGAGCGAAUCUCGGAAAGCCGGUCUCAGUUCGGAUUGGGGUCUGCAACUCGACCUCAUGAAGUCGGAGUCGCUAGUAAUCGCAGAUCAGCAACGCUGCGGUGAAUACGUUCCCGGGGCU